UCAGCAUGCCGCGUGUGUGAAGAAGGCCUUCGGGUUGUAAAGCACUUUUGUCCGGAAAGAAAUCGCGCUGGUUAAUACCUGGCGUGGAUGACGGUACCGGAAGAAUAAGCACCGGCUAACUACGUGCCAGCAGCCGCGGUAAUACGUAGGGUGCGAGCGUUAAUCGGAAUUACUGGGCGUAAAGCGUGCGCAGGCGGUUUUGUAAGACAGGCGUGAAAUCCCCGGGCUUAACCUGGGAAUUGCGCUUGUGACUGCAAGGCUAGAGUGCGUCAGAGGGGGGUAGAAUUCCACGUGUAGCAGUGAAAUGCGUAGAGAUGUGGAGGAAUACCGAUGGCGAAGGCAGCCCCCUGGGACGUGACUGACGCUCAUGCACGAAAGCGUGGGGAGCAAACAGGAUUAGAUACCCUGGUAGUCCACGCCCUAAACGAUGUCAACUAGUUGUUGGGGAUUCAUUUUCUCAGUAACGUAGCUAACGCGUGAAGUUGACCGCCUGGGGAGUACGGUCGCAAGAUUAAAACUCAAAUGAAUUGACGGA
Molecule: ribosomal RNA, 535 nt
Filed under: uncultured bacterium
Lineage: Bacteria
Description: bacterial SSU rRNA
Rfam family: Bacterial small subunit ribosomal RNA
Source: RNAcentral